GGAGUCUAGCAUGUGCGCGAGUCAUUGGGACUUGCGAAACCUAAAGGCGUAAUGAAAGUGAAGGCGCGCCUCGCGCGCGCCGAGGGAGGAUGGGCCGGGUCCAGGCUCGGCCCCGCACUCCCGGGGCGUUUCGUUCUCAUCGCGAGAUGAGGCGCACCCAGAGCGUACACGCUGGGACCCGAAAGAUGGUGAACUAUGCCUGGUCAGGACGAAGUCAGGGGAAACCCUGAUGGAGGUCCGUAGCGAUUCUGACGUGCAAAUCGAUCGUCGGAACUGGGUAUAGGGGCGAAAGACUAAUCGAACCAUCUAGUAGCUGGUUCCCUCCGAAGUUUCCCUCAGGAUAGCUGGCGCUCGCUUCGCGAGUCUCAUCCGGUAAAGCGAAUGAUUAGAGGCAUUGGGGUCGAAACGGCCUCAACCUAUUCUCAAACUUUAAAUGGGUGAGAUCUCCGGCUUGCUCGAAAAUUGAAGCCGCGAGAUACUCAUAUUCGGAUCAGAGUGCCAAGUGGGCCAUUUUUGGUAAGCAGAACUGGCGCUGUGGGAUGAACCAAACGUAGAGUUAAAGCGCCGAAAUCGACGCUUAUGGGAUACCAUGAAAGGCGUUGGUAACUUAAGACAGCAGGACGGUGGCCAUGGAA
Molecule: ribosomal RNA, 635 nt
Filed under: Dryopomorphus sp. UPOL RK0732
Lineage: Eukaryota; Metazoa; Arthropoda; Insecta; Coleoptera; Elmidae
Description: eukaryotic LSU rRNA
Rfam family: Eukaryotic large subunit ribosomal RNA
Source: RNAcentral